ACUUCGCCGAAGCAAGACGGUAUAUAUCAGAUCCUUAAAGGGACAAAAUACCCAAGUGCGCCUCCACGAGAAGGAAUCAAUAAGUUGCCGGAUAUUUUACCAAAAACCCAGCACUAAAGUCAGCGUCAAAAGAAAAUGGUGAAAUAAAAAGAAAAGGACUUCGAUGAGCCAUGGUAGGAGUAAGCAGAUCAAGGACCAGGGAAGAAACCAUCAUGAUUUAUUUACUUUUGAAUGUCUUUCAUGGCAGACUCUUGACCCCUACCUGCGGUUCGAUUGGAGGCCUCCGCACACAUUUCCCCGAGUAUUUUAUUGGCUACGUGCAACUGCGCAAACAAAUUUACAUGACACUGAACUGAAAGGUGCUUACCCACCUGCUCCCCCGACUCCUCCAACUCUCCGCCCACCCGGAUUCAUCUUUGAAGCAUGUUGGAACCCCUCAAACAUUAUUGAAAGAUUGAUGAAAGUUGCGGCCCAGGACUUUUUUUUUGGCUUUCUCGUUUUCUAACUAUCAAGUGAGCAGCCCAAACGGAAAAAUUCCUGUCAAGAUAAAUGACUUGAGUUUCUUUUUUUUACGUACGUAUGUUAUACGAGU
Drosophila melanogaster (fruit fly) is the source of this 592-nucleotide non-coding RNA. Lineage: Eukaryota; Metazoa; Arthropoda; Insecta; Diptera; Drosophilidae. The record is from Ensembl.